RNAcentral lists this ribosomal RNA (484 nucleotides) under uncultured bacterium. RNAcentral describes it as "partial 16S ribosomal RNA". It matches the Rfam family "Bacterial small subunit ribosomal RNA", at positions 30 to 507 of the family's 1533-position model. The record is from RNAcentral.
AUUGAACGCUGGCGGCAGGCCUAACACAUGCAAGUCGAGCGGAUGAAGGGAGCUUGCUCCUGGAUUCAGCGGCGGACGGGUGAGUAAUGCCUAGGAAUCUGCCUGGUAGUGGGGGAUAACGUCCGGAAACGGGCGCUAAUACCUCAUACGUCCUGAGGGAGAAAGUGGGGGAUCCUCGGACCUCACGCUAUCAGAUGAGCCUAGGUCGGAUUAGCUAGUUGGUGGGGUAAAGGCCUACCAAGGCGACGAUCCGUAACUGGUCUGAGAGGAUGAUCAGUCACACUGGAACUGAGACACGGUCCCGACUCCUACGGGAGGCAGCAGUGGGGAAUAUUGGACGAUGGGCGAAAGCCUGAUCCAGCAAUGCCGCGUGUGUGAAGAAGGUCUUCGGAUUGUAAAGCACUUUAAGUUGGGAGGAAGAGCAGUAAGUUAAUACCUGGCUGUUUUGACGUUACCAACAGAAUAAGCACCGGCUAACUUCGUG